GUUUGGAGAAAGGCAGAGCAACAUGGCCAAAUAGAAGGCUCCACUGAUCAUCCCUCCAACAAGGACGCAAAUUUAACAACUAUCUACACACAAAAAGAAGCACCUUCAUAAGAACCACAAAACAGAAUCCAGGCAACUUACCAUGAGAAAAUCCAUGCAGCCAUGCAGGGAGACCCGCUUAAGGAGGGACUGAGGAACCAAAGUCCGUGGCUCACAGACUCAGCUGAACUCUGAGUCAGCUCCAACUUGCCAGCCAAUUGAUUGAACAACUUGAAGUGAAAGAUUCCAGUUAAAAUCCAAUAUUAAAUAAGUUAAAGAUUGGAUAAAAUGACUCUAAAUUUCAUACGAAAGAGUAAACAUCUGGGAAUAAUCAUUAUCUAUUUUUCAGAACUCUGCACUCAUUUCCACACAGUGAAAGAGAAUAUAUAUAGUUUCUGAGUUUAAAAAAGCUACAGUUUAUUUAUUUAUUUAUUUAUUUUUAUUAUUAUACUUUAAUUUCUAGGGUACAUGUGCACAACAUGCAGGUUUGUUACAUAUGUAUACAUGUGCCAUGUUGGUGUGCUGCACCCAUUAACUCAUCAUUUAUAUCAGGUAUUUCUCUUAAUGCUAUCCCUCCCCCUACCCCCACCCCACGAC
RNAcentral lists this long non-coding RNA (636 nucleotides) under Homo sapiens (human). Its description in RNAcentral is "HSALNT0287944". The record is from RNAcentral. Lineage: Eukaryota; Metazoa; Chordata; Mammalia; Primates; Hominidae.